UGAGGAAUAUUGGUCAAUGGACGCAAGUCUGAACCAGCCAAGUAGCGUGCAGGAUGACGGCCCUAUGGGUUGUAAACUGCUUUUAUAUGGGGAUAAAGUGGGGAACGUGUUCCCUUUUGCAGGUACCAUAUGAAUAAGGACCGGCUAAUUCCGUGCCAGCAGCCGCGGUAAUACGGAAGGUUCGGGCGUUAUCCGGCUUUAUUGGGUUUAAAGGGAGCGUAGGCCGUUUGGUAAGCGUGUUGUGAAAUGUAGGAGCUCAACUUCUAGAUUGCAGCGCGAACUGUCAGACUUGAGUGCGCACAACGUAGGCGGAAUUCAUGGUGUAGCGGUGAAAUGCUUAGAUAUCAUGAAGAACUCCGAUUGCGAAGGCAGCUUACGGGAGCGCAACUGACGCUGAAGCUCGAAGGUGCGGGUAUCGAACAGG
This 424-nucleotide ribosomal RNA is filed under the name Verrucomicrobiota bacterium. Its description in RNAcentral is "Verrucomicrobia bacterium partial 16S ribosomal RNA". It matches the Rfam family "Bacterial small subunit ribosomal RNA", at positions 355 to 776 of the family's 1533-position model. The record is from RNAcentral. Lineage: Bacteria; Pseudomonadati; Verrucomicrobiota.